GACGAAUGCUGGCUGCGUGCUUAACACAUGCAAGUCGAACGGUGAAGGGGAGCUUGCUCCCCGGAUCAGUGGCGAACGGGUGAGUAACACGUGAGUAACCUGCCCCGGACUCUGGGAUAAGCGUUGGAAACGACGUCUAAUACCGGAUACGAGACGAGAAGGCAUCUUCAUCGUCUGGAAAGAUUUUUUGGUCUGGGAUGGACUCGCGGCCUAUCAGGUUGUUGGUGAGGUAAUGGCUCACCAAGCCUACGACGGGUAGCCGGCCUGAGAGGGUGACCGGCCACACUGGGACUGAGACACGGCCCAGACUCCUACGGGAGGCAGCAGUGGGGAAUAUUGCACAAUGGGCGAAAGCCUGAUGCAGCAACGCCGCGUGAGGGACGACGGCCUUCGGGUUGUAAACCUCUUUUAGUAGGGAAGAAGCGAAAGUGACGGUACCUGCAGAAAAAGCACCGGCUAACUACGUGCCAGCAGCCGCCGUAA
This 483-nucleotide ribosomal RNA is filed under the name uncultured bacterium. RNAcentral's name for it is "partial 16S ribosomal RNA". It matches the Rfam family "Bacterial small subunit ribosomal RNA", at positions 28 to 523 of the family's 1533-position model. The record is from RNAcentral.